ACAUACGACCAUAGGGUGUGGAAAACAGGGCUUCCCGUCUGCUCAGCCGUACUUAAGCCACACGCCGGCCGGUUAGUAGUUGGGUGGGUGACCACCAGCGAAUCCCGGCUGUUGUAUGUA
RNAcentral lists this ribosomal RNA (120 nucleotides) under Aspergillus ruber CBS 135680. Lineage: Eukaryota; Fungi; Ascomycota; Eurotiomycetes; Eurotiales; Aspergillaceae. The record is from RNAcentral.